RNAcentral lists this ribosomal RNA (253 nucleotides) under uncultured bacterium. RNAcentral's name for it is "partial 16S ribosomal RNA". It matches the Rfam family "Bacterial small subunit ribosomal RNA", at positions 524 to 776 of the family's 1533-position model. The record is from RNAcentral.
UACGAAGGGUGCAAACGUUGCUCGGAAUUAUUGGGCGUAAAGCGCACGUAGGCGGCUUCUUAAGUCGGUGGUGAAAUCCUGGAGCUCAACUCCAGAACUGCCUUCGAUACUGGGAAGCUCGAGUCCGGGAGAGGUGAGUGGAACUGCGAGUGUAGAGGUGAAAUUCGUAGAUAUUCGCAAGAACACCAGUGGCGAAGGCGGCUCACUGGUCCGGUACUGACGCUGAGGUGCGAAAGCGUGGGGAGCAAACAGG